UGCAGUCGAGCGGAAAAUGGGAGCUUGCUCCCUGAUGUUAGCGGCAGACGGGUGAGUAACACGUGGGUAACCUGCCUGUAAGACUGGGAUAACUCCGGGAAACCGGGGCUAAUACCGGAUGGUUGUUUGAACCGCAUGGUUCAGACAUAAAAGGUGGCUUCGGCUACCACUUACAGAUGGACCCGCGGCGCAUUAGCUAGUUGGUGAGGUAACGGCUCACCAAGGCAACGAUGCGUAGCCGACCUGAGAGGGUGAUCGGCCACACUGGGACUGAAACACGGCCCAAACUCCUACGGGAGGCAGCAGUAGGGAAUCUUCCGCAAUGGACGAAAGUCUGACGGAGCAACGCCGCGUGAGUGAUGAAGGUUUUCGGAUCGUAAAGCUCUGUUGUUAGGGAAGAACAUGUGCCGUUCAAAUAGGGCGGCACCUUGACGGUACCUAACCAGAAAGCCACGGCUAA
RNAcentral lists this ribosomal RNA (460 nucleotides) under Bacillus sp. (in: firmicutes). Its description in RNAcentral is "bacterial SSU rRNA". It matches the Rfam family "Bacterial small subunit ribosomal RNA", at positions 56 to 500 of the family's 1533-position model. The record is from RNAcentral. Lineage: Bacteria; Bacillati; Bacillota; Bacilli; Caryophanales; Bacillaceae.